AUUGAACGCUAGCGGGAUGUUUUACACAUGCAAGUCGAACGGCAGCGCGGACUUCGGUCUGGCGGCGAGUGGCGAACGGGUGAGUAAUGUAUCGGAACGUGCCCAGUAGCGGGGGAUAACUACGCGAAAGCGUAGCUAAUACCGCAUACGCCCUACGGGGGAAAGCAGGGGAUCGUAAGACCUUGCACUAUUGGAGCGGCCGAUAUCGGAUUAGCUAGUUGGUGAGGUAACGGCUCACCAAGGCGACGAUCCGUAGCUGGUUUGAGAGGACGACCAGCCACACUGGGACUGAGACACGGCCCAGACUCCUACGGGAGGCAGCAGUGGGGAAUUUUGGACAAUGGGGGCAACCCUGAUCCAGCCAUCCCGCGUGUGCGAUGAAGGCCUUCGGGUUGUAAAGCACUUUUGGCAGGAAAGAAACGUCGCGGGCUAAUACCCCGUGGAACUGACGGUACCUGCAGAAUAAGCACCGGCUAACUACGUG
Molecule: ribosomal RNA, 484 nt
Filed under: uncultured bacterium
Lineage: Bacteria
Description: partial 16S ribosomal RNA
Rfam family: Bacterial small subunit ribosomal RNA
Source: RNAcentral